This 301-nucleotide ribosomal RNA is filed under the name uncultured bacterium. RNAcentral's name for it is "partial 16S ribosomal RNA". It matches the Rfam family "Bacterial small subunit ribosomal RNA", at positions 509 to 809 of the family's 1533-position model. The record is from RNAcentral.
CAGUAGCCGCGGUAAUACGUAGGUGGCAAGCGUUGUCCGGAAUUAUUGGGCGUAAAGGGCUCGCAGGCGGUUUCUUAAGUCUGAUGUGAAAGCCCCCGGCUCAACCGGGGAGGGUCAUUGGAAACUGGGAAACUUGAGUGCAGAAGAGGAGAGUGGAAUUCCACAUGUAGCGGUGAAAUGCGUAGAGAUGUGAAGGAACACCAGUGGCGAAGGCGACUCUCUGGUCUGUAACUGACGCUGAGGAGCGAAAGCGUGGGGAGCGAACAGGAUUAGAUACCCCCGUAGUCCCUGUCUCUUAUAA